UAAGGAAUAUUGGACAAUGGUCGCAAGACUGAUCCAGCCAUGCCGCGUGCAGGAAGACGGCCCUAUGGGUUGUAAACUGCUUUUGUACCAGAGAAAACCUAUCUACGUGUAGAUAGCUGAUAGUAUGGUAAGAAUAAGCAUCGGCUAACUUCGUGCCAGCAGCCGCGGUAAGACGAAGGAUGCAAGCGUUAUCCGGAUUCAUUGGGUUUAAAGGGUGCGUAGGCGGGCUUGUAAGUCAGUGGUGAAAUCUCUCAGCUUAACUGAGAAAAUGCCAUUGAUACUGCAGGCCUAGAGUAUAGAUGACGUUGGCGGAAUAUGACAUGUAGUGGUGAAAUACUUAGAUAUGUCAUAGAACACCGAUUGCGAAGGCAGCUAACGAAACUAUAACUGACGCUGAGGCACGAAAGUGCGGGGAUCAAACA
This 422-nucleotide ribosomal RNA is filed under the name uncultured bacterium. Its description in RNAcentral is "bacterial SSU rRNA". It matches the Rfam family "Bacterial small subunit ribosomal RNA", at positions 355 to 774 of the family's 1533-position model. The record is from RNAcentral.